AGUUUGAUCAUGGCUCAGAUUGAACGCUGGCGGCAUGCCUUACACAUGCAAGUCGAACGGCAGCACGGGUGCUUGCACCUGGUGGCGAGUGGCGAACGGGUGAGUAAUACAUCGGAACAUGUCCUGUAGUGGGGGAUAGCCCGGCGAAAGCCGGAUUAAUACCGCAUACGAUCCAUGGAUGAAAGCGGGGGACCUUCGGGCCUCGCGCUAUAGGGUUGGCCGAUGGCUGAUUAGCUAGUUGGUGGGGUAAAGGCCUACCAAGGCGACGAUCAGUAGCUGGUCUGAGAGGACGACCAGCCACACUGGGACUGAGACACGGCCCAGACUCCUACGGGAGGCAGCAGUGGGGAAUUUUGGACAAUGGGCGAAAGCCUGAUCCAGCAAUGCCGCGUGUGUGAAGAAGGCCUUCGGGUUGUAAAGCACUUUUGUCCGGAAAGAAAUCCUUGGUUCUAAUAUAACCGGGGGAUGACGGUACCGGAAGAAUAAGCACCGGCUAACUACGUGCCAGCAGCCGCGGUAAUACGUAGGGUGCGAGCGUUAAUCGGAAUUACUGGGCGUAAAGCGUGCGCAGGCGGUUUGUUAAGACCGAUGUGAAAUCCCCGGGCUCAACCUGGGAACUGCAUUGGUGACUGGCAAGCUAGAGUAUGG
RNAcentral lists this ribosomal RNA (648 nucleotides) under Burkholderia sp. M5. RNAcentral's name for it is "bacterial SSU rRNA". It matches the Rfam family "Bacterial small subunit ribosomal RNA", at positions 10 to 651 of the family's 1533-position model. Lineage: Bacteria; Pseudomonadati; Pseudomonadota; Betaproteobacteria; Burkholderiales; Burkholderiaceae. The record is from RNAcentral.